AUUGAACGCUGGCGGCAGGCCUAACACAUGCAAGUCGAGCGGAUGAAGGGAGCUUGCUCCUCGAUUCAGCGGCGGACGGGUGAGUAAUGCCUAGGAAUCUGCCUGGUAGUGGGGGAUAACGUCCGGAAACGGGCGCUAAUACCGCAUACGUCCUGAGGGAGAAAGUGGGGGAUCUUCGGACCUCACGCUAUCAGAUGAGCCUAGGUCGGAUUAGCUAGUUGGUGGGGUAAAGGCCUACCAAGGCGACGAUCCGUAACUGGUCUGAGAGGAUGAUCAGUCACACUGGAACUGAGACACGGUCCAGACUCCUACGGGAGGCAGCAGUGGGGAAUAUUGGACAAUGGGCGAAAGCCUGAUCCAGCCAUGCCGCGUGUGUGAAGAAGGUCUUCGGAUUGUAAAGCACUUUAAGUUGGGAGGAAGGGCAGUAAGUUAAUACCUUGCUGUUUUGACGUUACCAACAGAAUAAGCACCGGCUAACUUCGU
RNAcentral lists this ribosomal RNA (483 nucleotides) under uncultured bacterium. Its description in RNAcentral is "partial 16S ribosomal RNA". It matches the Rfam family "Bacterial small subunit ribosomal RNA", at positions 30 to 506 of the family's 1533-position model. The record is from RNAcentral.